UACGUAGGGGGCGAGCGUUGUCCGGAAUUAUUGGGCGUAAAGAGCUCGUAGGCGGCGUUUCAAGUCAGGUGUGAAAGCCGACGGCUUAACCGGAGGACUGCACUUGAUACUGGAGCGCUUGAGGUAGGCAGAGGAAGGUAGAAUUCCCGGUGUAGCGGUGAAAUGCGUAGAUAUCGGGAGGAAUACCAGUGGCGAAGGCGGCCUUCUGGGCCUUACCUGACGCUGAGGAGCGAAAGCUAGGGGAGCGAACGGG
Molecule: ribosomal RNA, 253 nt
Filed under: uncultured bacterium
Lineage: Bacteria
Description: partial 16S ribosomal RNA
Rfam family: Bacterial small subunit ribosomal RNA
Source: RNAcentral